CAAGGAAGUGAGAGGGGAUGAGGGAGAUGUGAGGGGAAGGUCCACCAAGGUGUGUGGACUGACUGGAUGGGAUAUUUUAAGGGUGUUCAGAGCAGAAAGCAGGCCGUGGAUUUGAUGUGGUCCCCGUGGGGCUGGGGAACAGGAGGAUCAGAGGCUGGACCACAAUCCCUCCGUUAUCACCCCUCCCUGCACACUUCCUUCCCACCCCUGCCAGCUUUGCCAUCAGUAGUUGCCACAUCCCCAGCCUGGCAUUUUUCCUUUCUGGGUAUUUUUUGCCUGGGGAUUAUUAUUCAUAUUCAGUCUAUUUCUGGACUUUUCGUUUAUACUAAUAGUACUUUUCUCCAAACCAAGAUAUAACUUUAUUCUGUAAGUACUUGUUAUUAAAGAAAACAAACUUAACAUUACAAACAUUAUACAUUUGCAUUAAUUAAUAUCAAAUUAAAAUGAAUAACAUACUGGUGAUAAUUGAUCAAUUAAUCCAACAAUAACAGUUGACUAAUAUCAAGAUAAAAGGCAAAUCAGAAGACAUGUGUGUGGUUCGCCAAGUCUGUUAAGCAAGCAGGACAGAGCCCCUGCCCUCCCAAUGCUCCCAGGCACGUGGAGACCCGGGGGCUGGCGCACAGCUCAGGUGUCUGCUUGGACCAGGCUACAAUUAAGAUUCUAACCUUACGGUAUUUGCUUUUGUAAUAGUAUCAGCACUACACUGAGAUUUGCUGCAUUUUUAAGUAAAAUCAUUGAUUUUUACAUAGAAUUUGAAGCACAGAUAGACUCCCGUCACCACCCAAAUCCUUCCAGCCCUGAAUUUAAAUCCUGGCUCUGCCACUUACUCAGCGUAGCAAACUACUUAACCUCCUUCAACGUGCACGUUGUUGCCCAAGACUUAAAAAAACAAAAGUGUAAAAUGCCUAGAGCACACCAAAUAAAACAAUGCUUUCUAUUCUCAUUACUUUGGUUAAGGAAAAUGCCAUUUUUAAAAUACAUUAACUAUUAAAGUGUUGGGUUUUUUUUUUUUUCCUUUGAAGAAGAAAAACCAGACGGAUCAUUUAGUGAGCCGUGGAAACCCAUCUGUUUACUAAAUAUGAUGAGUUUUCAGUCCUAGGUCUUUCAAAAAUACUCUCACAAAUAAAUGGUCACUGAAACUGUCUUUUCCAAAGAUAGUUCAAAUUUCUUUCAGUGGGUUCUUUCAUUUGAAUCCAAAACUCCGACAGGAUUCUGAAAACUACUUCUCUUCUCUCCUCGUAUUAGGAAGCAUCGCUCUGUCCAGGUUUAGAUAUGCUCUAAGACAGUAAGUCCACUUCCUAGAAUUUACCUGUUCGACCAAGCCCUGCAUGACAAUGGAUGGCUACUUUCCCUUCCUGUAAGGCAAAUGUCGUCACCUUCACCAUGUCUAAGACAGUGGUAAGCGAUGCCACACCGUAAUCCUUCCAUCCGAAAUUGUAGAAAUAGACUGGACAAUGAAACAGAGAACAGAGAAGAAAAAUCAACAUAAAGGACAGUACGUGAGCAGCCGUGUGAAGGAAGCGCGUGGAUUCGUGAAAAGCGCACAGCUGUGAGGCAGGCUGGCUGCACCUCAUGCGGAGGCUAAAAUAAUAGGUUCUUUGUAUUUCCGGUAAAUUUACUGUUUGCAUUUCUUACAAAGCACAUUCUCUAUUACUCAAGACAUUUCCUGCUAAAACUCAGCCAGAAACAAUUAAGGAGAAACAGGACUGCAGAUUAAUAAAGGCCACGACCUUCACCCAAAUUACUCAGCCACAGAAGGACAGCACGCCAUCUUGUUCAAGCGUGGAAAUGCGUUUAAAGGACUGGCAAGUGGCACAAGCUGGGUGCAUACAGAUUUUCCACCUGGUGGAGACAAAAAAGCGAGGCACACGCUUCUUAGAAACAAGUCCCCAAAGUGGCCUGGGCUGGUCCUUUCCAGCCUGGUGAGAAUGGCACGUGUUGAGUGACCCCAUCCCUAGGCUCCCGGACUUGGGCUCCUGGGACUGCCCAGUAAAGAACCCCUGAGUACCACCCAGGGGCAGAGUCGGGCUUCAGUAACAGCAUGAGUGAGUGCUGUGUUCCAGUCCCGCUGCCAUGAGUAAGCCGUGUGGUCUGAGUCGGAACAGAGAGCAGUACCACGGGAUGGGACGGAUGGGUAGGACAGGUCUGGCGCACUACGAUGGCAAUUCAUGCACGCUUUGUUUCUACAGGGCUCGUCCCAAGAUCGCUCGCACGGGACAAAAGAAAUCCUGUACUUUCAACAGCAACGCCAGAGAAGAAUGGUCGCAUUGUCUAGAAUCAAUCAGCUCAUCUCCCCCGUUGGGAGCCUACAUUGAAAGAAGCCCUUCACUGCCUACUCUUUGACUAUUUGAAGUCAAAAGUGACAGACAAGAAGACGCGAGCUGGCUUAUCGAAGUGUGUCAGCGUGCAGCAUUUACCUUCGGAACUGCUCGAUGAUGCAGUACUUCUCGAGGAGCUCAGUGGACGGGCGAGCCAUGGCCAAGAUGUUGUCAGUGACCCUGAGGUGGGAGGACGGGGCUGGUGAGAUGCACAAAACCUGGAACGUUCUAGCUCUAAGUACUGAGAGAACGAGUUAUCAAGUCCCUGUUUUUUUCUACGAUUUCAACAGUUGUAGAACAAUUUUCUUAUACAGCUCUGGGUUCAAUUUUGCAUCACAAUUAGGGCUCUAAGAGACCCUGAAAGCCUGGAAAAAAUUCCAGGACGUAAAGUAUUUGUGGACUGCAGCAGAGUGUUUUCAAGGACUCUCAUGAGAUUCUAGCAGACGUGACAGAGCCACCUCAUCGGGCAUCAAAGGCAAUUCUGCCCCCCAGUCACCCGUUGUGUGAGGCAGGGAUAACGCCUGCCUCGUGGGGUUGGCACGACAAUUCGACAAGGUGUGGGUGUAAAGUCUUUAGCACAAAUCCUGGCGAGUGGUUAUGAAUAAAUGCCGACUUAUUGUGAUUUAGCGAAACAUCUGGGCUUUGGGGUCAGCCGGGUCUGGUUUCAAACGCUGGCUUUUCUGCUUUCUAGCUAAGUAGUAGAUUACUUAGUUGCUCCGGACUCAAUCCUCUCAUCAUUAAAAGGACAUUAACAAUGUCUACUUUUCCAGCGCUUCAUGAAGAUGACAUUAUAAUGUGACAGUGUCUAGCAGAGCGCCUGGCCUGUAGACGAAUGGACUUUUAUGGAAAGUACGAAUGGACAGAGGCCCGACAGACAGCGGAUCCUGCUUAGGGCUCUGGUGAGAAACACCGGGCAGUCCAUCAGGGGCUGUGGGCCACAUGAACCUGAGCAGUAACAGAGACGUCGGCUGAGCUGAUCAGGGUCCAGAAGGAUACCGCAACUCUCCCCCAGGGCGAGUCCUGACAUUUAACGGGGACCCCCCAAAUUCAGCAGGAGUCAGACCAAGGCGAGGACAGAAGGACCAUGAAAGCAUCAGAGGUGAAAGACUCAGAUGGCUUAGUCAACAGUGAAACAAAAAUAUUAAUGGGGCCUCGAGCUGCAUUAUUAGAAAUUUAGGGUCCGACCACAUCUCAGGAACACUGUUUGCUUUCUCACAACACUCCUCAGGCUGGAAUGCAAUCUGUGGGGAACAGUGGGGACAGCCGACCCGAUUCCACCACCACACGCAUACCAGCAAGCCCAGGACGCAAGAGCGCGGGUGCAGUCAGGUAAGCGGGUCGACAAACGUCUGACCUGGAAGCGGGAUUCCCGCUGCAAGAAAUGACUCACUGCUAGAGUUCUUUAAACGGUGAACUCUUAGUGGGUUUCAGACAUGAUGUGGCUUGAUUACCACACGUUUUCAGAGGUAUCACUACAUCAAAGCAGGCAUACUUGAGAGUUUACUGUUAAGAACAGAAAGCGGUAUGACCGAAUGCUGAGCCAGCCACAUCCCGUACUUCGCACGAGGCGUGUGCCUUACGCCAUCCUGAGCCUACAUGGCGCACGGCUCCCCACUGAGGCAGAUGGGCAGCGUGUGCACCCACGCGCGCCCUUUCACGCGGCAGACGGGAGCAAACAGGAGGCCAACGGUACCUGCGUCAGACCAGGAAACCACACACGCACCUUGUAACUUCUCAAACUUAGAGCCGAAUCCAUUAUUUCCAGUAACUUCUGACAUGUAAGACCUCCCCGGUCACCAUUUCUUUAAGAUACUUUACACACGUCAUUUCACUUGCUUAAAAAAACGCUAUGGGGUGAUUUUAUUAUUUCCAUCUCACCGACGAGGAAACGAGGUUUCACACCGCUGCUGGAGCUGCCAGGCCCGCAGGCUGCACAGCCCCACCGCCCAGCGCGGGUGCCCAGGACCACUCACCAGGACGAGUAGACCCCCUUAAUGGCUUGCUCCUGCUCGCUCCAGCGCGCCGGGUUUUCGUACUUGCAAGCUCUGCCGCCACACGCCACGGAGCAGGCCACGUGUCCAGGAAUCACAUGUCGCAGCCGCUCUCCGACCUUUGUGUACUUUGGCGUUGGACGCCCUGGAUUUCCUAGAAUGUACACGGAAGGGAAGAUUCAAAACCCAGUCUCCAGAUGGAAGAGUAGCGUGAGAACGCCCUCCAGGAUUGGAGACGACGUUCCUGCUGCACCCCCUCAUUCUGCCACAGUGAAACCGCUGCCUUGUGCUCUAAGAGCAGGACCUCCCAACACAGAAGAGGCGCUCGCACAUGAUCACCUCCACGUGUCACACUGGUGGCGAAGAAGAAGAAACCGUAAAAGCAGAUCUUUUACAAGGGCAUGGGUUUUUUCAAAAAUUAUGUUUUCGUGAAAAAGCACAAAACAUCCGAUCACUUUAUCUCCUAUUCCAUGUCCACUGAAGCCCUGAGUGCAACAGACGGUAAAAAGCGGAACGCAGAAUUAACUGUCAAAACCUAGACGGUCUCAACACAGCAUGCCACCUGCAGUCUCAGUUCAUACUCAAAGCUGUGGCAAUCUGAAAGAAGGAAAAGAACUUUACUUUUUCUCUGGAGGCACGCUGAGUCCCUGUCGGCGCGGCGGACGGAGGCCACGGCCACCAUCACCUGCAGAGAGGACGAGGACAGCGUCUGGGCGGCGGAGCCCCGGCGGCCCUGCUGCAGCUGCAGGACAGGGUCCGAGGCCGAGUGCCGGCGGCCCUGCAGGAAGGCGCUGAGGAAGGGCAGGGCAGAGCCCCGCCGGGGCAGGUCCUGCAUGGCCGGGGAUGGCAGCGCCAGCCUGCUCUGCCACCAACUCACUCACUGAGCCCAGAGCACCAGCCUGCGAUCAGCCUGCGAGAUCCACCAGCCGCUCAGGAUAGGCGGGCUUGUUGCCACGGUGACGAACAAAGAAACUACUGAUUCCCACUCAGAGCUGCAUCCUCGAAAUCCCACAUGAAUGGACUGCAGUUUGGAGGGAUUGUUGGAGCAGGGGGAAGAGGAACGUGUAUUUUCAGUAGAUUAUAUACCCAAGUUGUAACGAGUCUCUUUUUUCUCAGACUCAGCUGGAAGUCCUGACAGAUCAAAGAAUUGCAUCUAACAACACAUUGUGAUGAAUUAAGAAAAAUGUGUUCAUGACACAAACCCUGCCUUUUAUACACACUUUAAAAGGUUUAAAUUCUGCUGUU
Long non-coding RNA from Acinonyx jubatus (cheetah), 5554 nucleotides. RefSeq lists it as uncharacterized. Lineage: Eukaryota; Metazoa; Chordata; Mammalia; Carnivora; Felidae. The transcript is spliced from 2 exons. The record is from RefSeq and is a predicted model, not a curated record.